This 363-nucleotide ribosomal RNA is filed under the name uncultured eukaryote. Its description in RNAcentral is "SSU rRNA". It matches the Rfam family "Eukaryotic small subunit ribosomal RNA", at positions 567 to 924 of the family's 1831-position model. The record is from RNAcentral.
CCAGCAGCCGCGGUAAUUCCAGCUCCACUAGCGUAUAUUAAAGUUGUUGCAGUUAAAAAGCUCGUAGUUGGAUUUCUGACAUGGCGCGCCUGGUCCGCCCCGUAAAGGUGUGUGAGUACCGGCGCGCGCCUGUCAUCCUUCCGCGGAGCGAGCCUACCCUUCAUUGGGCCGGGCUGGCGACGUGGAUCGUUUACUUUGAAAAAAUUAGAGUGUUCAAAGCAGGCUGUACGCUUCUGAAUACAUUAGCAUGGAAUAAUAAGAUAGGACUUGGGUUCUAUUUUGUUGGUUUCUAGGACCGAAGUAAUGAUUGAUAGGGAUAGUUGGGGGUGCUAGUAUUCAGCGGCCAGAGGUGAAAUUCUUGGA